Molecule: ribosomal RNA, 1207 nt
Filed under: metagenome
Description: SSU rRNA
Rfam family: Eukaryotic small subunit ribosomal RNA
Source: RNAcentral
ACCGUGGUAAUUCUAGAGCUAAUACAUGCUUAAACGCCCGACUUUAUGGAAGGGUGGUAUUUAUUAGACUGAAGCCAAUAUUCCUUGUGUCUAUUGCGGUGAUUCAUAAUAACUGAUCGAAUCUCUUUUUGAGAUAAAUCAUUCAAGUUUCUGCCCUAUCAGCUUUCGAUGGUAGUGUAUUGGACUACCAUGGCAGUAACGGGUAACGAAGAAUUAGGGUUCGAUUUCGGAGAGGGAGCAUGAGAAACGGCUACCACAUCUAAGGAAGGCAGCAGGCGCGUAAAUUACCCAAUCCUGACUCAGGGAGGUAGUGACAAGAAAUAGCAAACCGGGAACCUCAUGGUUUCACGGUAUUGCAAUGAGAACAAUUUAAAACCCUUAGCGAGAAUCAAGUGGAGGACAAGUCUGGUGCCAGCACCCGCGGUAAUUCCAGCUCCACUAGCGUAUAUUAAAGUUGUUGCAGUUAAAAGCUCGUAGUUGAACCUCUGUCUGGGGCUAGUUUUGGCUUUGGUCAGGCUAGUUCUAGGCAUCCGCCUACAAGACUUAGAGGGCAUUCAGUUGUUCACUAGGAGGAGUAGGCAUUUUACUUUGAAAAAAUUAGAGUGUUUAAGGCAGGCAAUCGCCCGCAUAUAUUAGCAUGGAAUAAUAGAAUAGGACACUUUUCCAUUUCGUUGGUUAUUGGAAUCGUGUAAUGAUUAAUAGGGACAGUUGUGGGCAUUUGUAUUUAAUUGUCAGAGGUGAAAUUCUUGGAUUUAUUAAAGACAAACUAACGCGAAAGCAUUUGCCAAGGAUGUUUUCAUUAAUCAAGAACGAAAGUUAGGGGAUCAAAGACGAUCAGAUACCGUCCUAGUCUUAACUAUAAACUAUUCCGACUCAAUGUUUGACUGGCUUAUAUAACCAGUUGAGCGUUGUAUGAGAAAUCAAAGUCUUUAGGUUCUGGGGGGAGUAUGGUUGCAAAGCUGAAACUUAAAGGAAUUGACGGAAGAGCACAACCAGGAGUGGAUUCUGCGGCUUAAUUUGACUCAACACGGGGAAACUUACCAGGUUAAAACAAUAGUGGGAUUGACAGUUUGAGAGCGCUUUCUUGAUUGGUUGGGUGGUGGUGCAUGGCCGUUCUUAGUUGGUGGAGUGAUUUGUCUGCUUAAUUGCGUUAACGAACGAGACCUUAACCUGCUUACUAGACUGGCGAUCAUCAAUCGUUAGCUCC